GUAGUAUAUUGUGGGUAUAUACUUGUGGAUUGAGAGAACACAAAAAAGGCUGAGGCAUCAUCUUCUUCUGUGACUCUGAGGAUCAAAGGCAUUUUCUUGUAUUUCUUGAACAAAGAUUUGUGGAGGACCUACUCUGUGCAGACAUUAUUAGACAAUAAAGGAAGCCAAGACUCUCAGGCCCUUUGCCCUUGCUUCUCAGAAAAGAACAGCUAACCAUUGCCAACCAGAAGGCACAGAAACUGAACCACUUCUGUGUCUGCAAUUGUGAUCUUGGACAAAUUACCUAAACUGCUUGGGUUGAGAUAUGUGAAUUCAGAUAUUGAAGCUUAUUUAUACAUUCAUAAUUCUAUGCUUCCAUAAUGAUUAAAUCCACCAUAGUAAUAAAUAAAGGCCUUAAGCACA
This 402-nucleotide long non-coding RNA is filed under the name Pongo abelii (Sumatran orangutan). RNAcentral describes it as "lincRNA". The record is from RNAcentral. Lineage: Eukaryota; Metazoa; Chordata; Mammalia; Primates; Hominidae.